RNAcentral lists this ribosomal RNA (207 nucleotides) under uncultured Syntrophorhabdus sp. RNAcentral describes it as "partial 16S ribosomal RNA". It matches the Rfam family "Bacterial small subunit ribosomal RNA", at positions 1179 to 1382 of the family's 1533-position model. Lineage: Bacteria; Pseudomonadati; Thermodesulfobacteriota; Syntrophorhabdia; Syntrophorhabdales; Syntrophorhabdaceae. The record is from RNAcentral.
AUGACGUCAAGUCCUCACUGGCCCUUAUGUCCAGGGCUACACACGUGCUACAAUGGGCGGUACAAAGGGUCGCAAACCCGUAAGGGGGAGCAAAUCCACUUAAAAGCCGUCCUCAGUUCGGAUUGAGGUCUGCAACUCGACCUCAUGAAGCUGGAAUCGCUAGUAAUCGCGGAUCAGCAUGCCGCGGUGAAUACGUUCCCGGGCCUU